Molecule: ribosomal RNA, 102 nt
Filed under: Tropheryma whipplei str. Twist
Lineage: Bacteria; Bacillati; Actinomycetota; Actinomycetes; Micrococcales; Tropherymataceae
Description: partial 16S ribosomal RNA
Rfam family: Bacterial small subunit ribosomal RNA
Source: RNAcentral
UUAACCUUUUUGGAGAGAGCCGUCGAAGGUGGGAUUGGUGAUUGGGACUAAGUCGUAACAAGGUAGCCGUACCGGAAGGUGCGGCUGGAUCACCUCCUUUCU